GUAUACAGCCACCCCACCCUAAAUACACCUCUCAUCUGAUCUUGAAAGCUUAGCAGGGUCGGGCCUCACUAGUACUCAGAUGGGAGAGAGAGGCUUAGCAAGGGUAGGACUGGGGAGGCAGGAACA
Nomascus leucogenys (northern white-cheeked gibbon) is the source of this 126-nucleotide ribosomal RNA. Lineage: Eukaryota; Metazoa; Chordata; Mammalia; Primates; Hylobatidae. The record is from Ensembl.